AGACAGAGUCUCGCUCUGUCGUCCAGGCUACAGUGCAGUGGUGUGAUCUUGGCUUACUGCAGCCUACACUUCCCGGGUUUGAGCGAUUCUCCUGCCUCAGCCUCCUGAGUAGCUGGGAUUACAGGCAUGCGCCAUCAUGCUAUCAUGCCUGGCUGAUUGAUUGAUUGAUUGAUUUAAGACAGUCAGUCUCCCUCUGUGGCCCAUGCUGGAGUGCAGUGAUGCAAUCUCGGCUCACUGCAACCUGUGCCUCCUGGGUUCAAGCAAUUCUAAUGCCUCAGCCUCCCAGGUAGCUGGGAUUACAGGCAUCUGCCACCUCGCCUGGCUAAUUUUUGUAUUUUUAGUGGAGACAGGGAUUUGCCAUGUUGGACAGGCUGGUCUCAAACUCCUGGCCUCAGGUGAUCCAUCUGCCACGGCCUCCCAAAGUGCUGGGAUUACAGGCAUGAGCCACUGUGCCCGGCCUAAUCUCCUCUUUAUUUCAUCAGUAUGUUUUUUACCUCAAGACAUUGUAAUUUUUGUUUAGGCUGUUUUAUAUUUUCCCUGUCUUUAACAUGUUUAUGUUUUUCUUUAUUUUCUUGAGCAUAUGAAAUACAGUUUGACUAAUGCUGCUAUUUGUAUCAUUUGUGAUUAAUUUUCUAUUGGUUGAUUUUUCUCAUUGUGGGUUAUAGUUUCUUGAUUGUUCUCAUGCCUGGUAACUUUUGUCUUUGAUUCCUGGUACACACUCCUAUUGUUCGCAUCUACGUUCAAUAUUCCGGCCGCAUGCUAGACAGUGAAUUUUAUCUCAUUGCUUUCUGUAUACUAUCAUUUCAUUUUAAGUAUUUUUGAACUCUGUUCUGGGAUGCAGUUAAAUCACUUGGAAAUAGUUUGAUGCUUUUGAGGCUUGCUUUUAAUUAUACAAGCCUCUGGGAAUAGAGCAACCUUUAGUCUUGGGCUAAUGUUGCCCAGUGUGGAGGCAAUAUCCUUGUUAGGAUUCUUUGGGAUGCCACUUGUAUUACAAGUUUUUCCACUUUGACUUGUGGGAGCACAACUGUGUUUGGUACUGUUUGAGCCAUGUGGAUAUUUCCAGUGUUUGUUUUAGGUGGUCCUGGGUGUGUGUGUGUACCACCACGCCUGGCUAAUUUUUAAAUUUUUUGUAGCUAUGGAGUCUCCCUAUGUUGUCCAGGCUGAUCUUGAACUCUUGACCUCAAGCGAUCCUCCUGCCUUGGCCUCCCAAAGUGUUAGGAUUACAGGCGUGAGCCACUGUGUCCAGCCAAUAGUUUAUUUUAAGAAAAUUUUUAAAUUUUUAUGGGUACAUAGUAGGUGUAUAUAUGAGAUACAUUAGAUAUUUUGAUACAGGCCUACAAUGUGUAAUCGUAUCCGGGUUCUAGGGUAAUUUCUUUACCUCCAUGUACUCAUUUAUUUGAUGAUUCAAGAGGGAGCCUGUGUAGAAUCUCCAGAGUCCUCUCUCUGCAGCCCCCUUCUCUCUCACUUCCUACCUUGUGAACUCUAAACUGCCUUGGCGUACCCAGAUUCCCAGUCCAUUUUUGCCUCUGGGAAACAGCACUUCUGCCUGCAUUCCCCUACCUUUGCCUUUGUGUCGGAACUCUCUCCAUGGAGUAAGCUGGAAUAGUAGUAGGGGUCACCUCGUUUGUCUCUCCUCUCUCAGAGAUCAAUGCCUUGUAUUGUGUCUACUGUCUGAAAAUGUUGUUUCACAUAUUCUGCUUGGUUUAUUGGUUAAUGUGGCUGGGUAAAUCUGGUUCCCUUUUGGCCAGAAGCAGAAAGCCUUGAUAAAUUUUUAGUUUUGAUUUUGUGUUUAUUUAAAAUCUGCUUAUGCAGAGUACUUUUUACAAAAGAACAAUUCGUAAUUUAUCUUUACUGUAAGAAUGUCCUAUUUGCUUAAAUUUGAAUAGUAUGUGACAUAAAGUGUAAUACACCAUGAAAGGGAGUAAGGAAUGGUAUAGGAGUGAAAGGAUCAAGUGCCACAUAGAAUAAGUGUCCUAAUGCAAACACACGUAUUUCUAGUUUUGAGGCCAUAGAUUUAAUUGUGGUUAAUGCAUGCUUCCAUUCUGGCUUUCCACCUACAUUCCAUGGAACACUGUUGUCCCACUAGAUUUUAAUUGGUUUUUACAACAAACAGGGUUUCAUGGACCACAUGUAUUUAGGACAUUUCAGAGUAACGAAAAUUAAAUUUCGAUUGCAGUGCUUUUCAAAAUUAGUAAUACACUAAUGAAUUCUGUGAAUCACCAGUGAAACAGUGUAGAGUUAUCCAAUCACUGGACUUCAGUGAUCCUUUUCUGGAAAUUCUUUAGAGGUAGGUUGUUAUUAAGUGUUUAAGGAUCUUUCCCUCCCUCCCUCCCUCCCUUCCUUGUUUUGCAGCAGAGUCUCACUCUGUUGCCCAGGCUGGAGUGCAGUGACAUGAUCCCAGCUCACUGCAGCCUCCAUCUCCUGGGUUCAAGCGAUUCUCGUGCCUCAGUCUCCCAAGUAGCUGGGACUACAGGCUCACGUGCUACCAUGCCUGGCUAAUUUUUGUAUUUUUACUAGAGACAGGGUUUGGUCAUGUUCGCCAAGCUGGUCUUGAACUCCUGGCCUCAAGUGAUAUGUUCGCCUCGGCCUCCCGAAGUGCUGGGGUUGAUUGCGGGUGUGAACCACCACUCCCGGCCAAGGAUGUUUUAAUACUGUUUAAAUAAGAUGUAUUUAAUUAUCAUGGGUUACUUACCUAAGCAGAUUCAAGAGUUCAUAUAUUUAGUAAGCCUACUGAUUCCUCUUGAUGGCUGUUCAGGCUCCUUUCAGUCUUCUGUUAGUAUAAUCUUACAUGUUAUUUUAUGAAAUGCAUACAUUUAUAUAUAGGAUGAAUUCUUAGAAUUGCUUGAUUAAAGGAGGAUGAUACGUAUAAUAGGACCAUACAUAUAUAUGCAUGCAUUUGUAUUUUUGAUAGAUAUUGACACUUUUUCUCCAUUGAAAUUAUGUCAUUUUGUUGUUACACCCCUUUGAAAGCCUCUGUUUAGAGACAUUUGAUAAAUAUUCUCUAGUUGCCCUCUAGUAUUAUUCAUUUGUUCUCCUACCACCUGUGUUUGAGUGUCUGCUUACCGUUCCUACCAAACUGUUUAUUUCCAUUUCUACCUAAUAAGUUUUGAGGCAGUUUAGAAUAGUAAUGAAACAUGUGGACUCUGGAGUUGUCUUUUUCCAAUCCUUACUUGGCCAGUAAUUGUGUCUCGGUUUCCCAGUCUGUAAAAUGAGAGAAUAAAUAGUUACCUUGCGCAAGGGCUGUUGUAAUUAAAUGAAUUAAUACAUAUGUAGCACUUAGUGUCUAGCUUAUAAUAGAUGCCAUGUAAGUAUUGUCUAUUAUCAUUGCAUUUUAAAAUUUCACUUACAGGGCUGCCUCCCACCCCCGUCAUAUUUACUGGCCAGUAAUGUUUCUUUUUCUGUGAGUUGCAGUUAGUCUUUUCUUUAAAUGUUAGCAAAGUAGUACAUGCAUAUAGUUUAGAGUCAAAAAAAUCCUAUAAAGUUUACAAAAAGGGAGCCCUUAUCUCCCUUCAGUAGAGACGCAACCUUCCUUUUUUAUUUCCUGAAUAUUUUCAAUAUGCAGUUGGUUGAGUCCAUGGAUGCAAAACCCAUUGAUACGGAGGGAAAACUAUAUAUAAAACAAUAGCAAUCUGAACAUCAAAUGACUAAAGGAUAACAUUAUAGCUGCCUGAAGCUGCAGUGUUGGCAGGGGCAAUCAUAAGACUAGCUGGAGAUUUUACUUGGUAAUCUGGGGAAUGGAACAGCCAUAGUAGACCUUGAUAAGCUCCCACAUAUUCAUGGGUGUCUGGAGAGCUGCACAUGCUCAGGAGAGAGCAGAGAGGCCUCCAGCUGUCUACUCACCUGGCUCAAUGUGCAGCUUUGCUCAAGCAGAAAGUAGAAGUCAGAACUGAUUCAUAAGCCACCUGAACUUUGAGUGGGGUCCAAACCAACACAGAGGGAGAUGCUUUGGUAAAGGACAGAAGCCUUACUGGCACAAUAUGUUUAAACAUAACCUCUUAUUUAUCAUUAGCCGGUCACCAAACUAUACUGACCUAGGAGUGACUUCUAGAAAGCCAAGCUUAAAAAUAAAAAUUGAGGAAAAAGUAAAAAACAGAAGACAACUAACCAGAGACAUCAGUGGUCAUACACUAUUGAGAAGACUAUAGAAAUAGUCCAGGCAAGUCUGUAAACAAACAGCAACCACAAUAAUCUGGGAGGUGUCAGGAGUCAGAAUCUCGAGUUGUUAUAUUAUGGAAAAUGUACAAUUUCAACAAAAGUUUUCGAGCCAUGCAAAGAAACAGACUGAAAAAAAGCCUAGGGGACUAUAAAGGAGACUAAAAUGACAAG
This 4326-nucleotide long non-coding RNA is filed under the name Homo sapiens (human). RNAcentral's name for it is "HSALNT0407405". Lineage: Eukaryota; Metazoa; Chordata; Mammalia; Primates; Hominidae. The record is from RNAcentral.